AGUUUGAUCAUGAUUCAGAUUGAACGCUGGCGGCAGGCCUAACACAUGCAAGUCGAGCGGAAACGAGUUAUCUGAAUCUUCGGGGAACGAUAACGGCGUCGAGCGGCGGACGGGUGAGUAAUGCCUAGGAAAUUGCCCUGAUGUGGGGGAUAACCAUUGGAAACGAUGGCUAAUACCGCAUGAUGCCUACGGGCCAAAGAGGGGGACCUUCGGGCCUCUCGCGUCAGGAUAUGCCUAGGUGGGAUUAGCUAGUUGGUGAGGUAAGGGCUCACCAAGGCGACGAUCCCUAGCUGGUCUGAGAGGAUGAUCAGCCACACUGGAACUGAGACACGGUCCAGACUCCUACGGGAGGCAGCAGUGGGGAAUAUUGCACAAUGGGCGCAAGCCUGAUGCAGCCAUGCCGCGUGUAUGAAGAAGGCCUUCGGGUUGUAAAGCACUAUCAGUCGUGAGGAAGGCAGKGUAGUUAAUAGCGGCAUURUUUGACGUUAGCGACAGAAGAAGCACCGGCUAACUCCGUGCCAGCAGCCGCGGUAAUACGGAGGGUGCGAGCGUUAAUCGGAAUUACUGGGCGUAAAGCGCAUGCAGGUGGUUUGUUAAGUCAGAUGUGAAAGCCCGGGGCUCAACCUCGGAAUAGCAUUUGAAACUGGCAGACUAGAGUACUGUAGAGGGGGGUAGAAUUUCAGGUGUAGCGGUGAAAUGCGUAGAGAUCUGAAGGAAUACCGGUGGCGAAGGCGGCCCCCUGGACAG
This 747-nucleotide ribosomal RNA is filed under the name Vibrio sp. GWS-SE-H217. RNAcentral describes it as "bacterial SSU rRNA". It matches the Rfam family "Bacterial small subunit ribosomal RNA", at positions 10 to 736 of the family's 1533-position model. Lineage: Bacteria; Pseudomonadati; Pseudomonadota; Gammaproteobacteria; Vibrionales; Vibrionaceae. The record is from RNAcentral.